RNAcentral lists this ribosomal RNA (616 nucleotides) under Rhabditis sp. B CM-2010. RNAcentral describes it as "eukaryotic LSU rRNA". It matches the Rfam family "Eukaryotic large subunit ribosomal RNA", at positions 359 to 968 of the family's 3401-position model. Lineage: Eukaryota; Metazoa; Nematoda; Chromadorea; Rhabditida; Rhabditidae. The record is from RNAcentral.
GCCAGGAUCUUUGAUGAGAGAGUUCAGGAGAACGUGAAUUCCUGCUGGUUGAACCGGAAAGAGUUGACGUACCUCGGUGGGCUAACCAUUACUCCUGGUGGGUUCCCCCUGCAAGGAGUGUGUGGCGUCUGCUUAUACCUGCCCUGGCACCGUUGUCCAAUUUCUCUGACCCGUCUAGGGUUGCCAGCUUCGGGGGUGUCUUGCUGGCGGUGAGGUUUACCGGGUUAACGUUUACCUUGCCUUACGGCAAGUGCCAGUGUGAAGGUCACCCACCUUUCCGUCCCGUCUUGAAACACGGACCGAGGAGUGUAACUUAUACGCAAGUCAAAGGGUGGAAAACCCAACGGCGCAAUGAAAGUAAAGGUCGGUUUACCGGCUGACAUGGAAUCCGUUCGUUAAAGCGGCGCACCAUGGCCCUGUCUUGAGAGCUUGCUCUUGGGCAAAGGAAAAGCGUAUAGGUUGCGACCCGAAAGAUGGUGAACUAUACUUGACCAGGACAAAGCCAGAGGAAACUCUGGUGGAAUUCCUUAUCGGUUCUGACUUGCAAAUCGAUCGAUAGACUUGAGUAUAGGGGCAAAGACCAAUCAACCCUCUAUACCUGCUUCCUUCUGAAAGA